Perognathus longimembris pacificus (Pacific pocket mouse) is the source of this 760-nucleotide long non-coding RNA. RefSeq lists it as uncharacterized. The transcript has 4 exons. NCBI's taxonomy places the organism in Eukaryota, Metazoa, Chordata, Mammalia, Rodentia, Heteromyidae. The record is from RefSeq and is a predicted model, not a curated record.
GCAGAGGGGAGAGGAAGCCAGGAUAUGUUGAAUUUGAGGACAAAAAGACUAAUUAAUAGCAAGAAGCCAGUCAUGGUGGCACAUGCCCAUAAUUUCAGCUACUCAGGAGAGGCAGAAGUUGGUUGGAUUGUGGUGCAAAGCCUCCUUCUAAACAAACAAGCCGGAAUGAUUGUAAAUACCUGUCAUCCUAGACACAGGGCAAGAUGAGCUCUGUCUAGAGGUGAGGGGCUAAAACUAAAAAAGGGCUAGAGUGUGCUCAAGUGAAAGACUGCCUGCCUAGUAAGCAGGAGACCUUGAGUUCAAAAUCACCAAUACCUCCAAAUAAAUAAAUUCAAAUACAGCCCGCUUUCUCCUAGUAACUUAAGAUAUAGAACAAGCCUCUCUUGUGCUUUGACCUAAGAAAAGUUUUAUAUUCUUUUUAUUAAGUUUGGAUCGGUGUCUAUUCUGAGUCAAUGUCUUAAAUAUUUCUGGUUGCUCCUUUAAUGUGUGGAGUUUCUCCUGGUGUCAAUUCCUUUGGGGCAUCUUCCUCCUAUUUGUCACACCACCUUCCUCUCUUAGUAAGUUUGUCUUCACUAAACUCCUUUGGUUGCAUGCAUAUCUAGAGUACCACAAACACAGGAUGCACUAUUUCUUCUGUGGCUCCAUUUACAAAUAAUUUGCAUCUCAUUACUACAUUCAUUAUUUUUCUUUAUUGUGCUUUUUUUCUUUCAGUCAGUCAUGGGGCUUGAACGCAGGGCCUGGGCACUGUUCCUUAGCUCUU